CUGCUCUCAAAUCUCUACACCUCUAUCUUGUUGGCUAUGCAGAAUAUUCCAGCGAGAUAUAUCGUCAUGGGAACAGAGUACACCAAGGUACUGUAGACAUUAAGAUUCAGGAACUCAACUAUAAAGGAAUCGCCUGCUGGUAUAGGACAGAGGUCCGUCUACACUGCAUGUCCACAGAAUCAUCUGAGCUAUGUUGGAGAUGUAGCACAGUCAUGGACCUGGUGGGGCAGUGACAAUGGAAAUACAGCAGCCAAUCAGUUACAGAUCUACAGUACAAGCACAUCCAUUAAUUACAG
Molecule: non-coding RNA, 296 nt
Organism: Pelobates cultripes (western spadefoot toad)
Lineage: Eukaryota; Metazoa; Chordata; Amphibia; Anura; Pelobatidae
Source: the annotation of a GenBank genome assembly